GCGGCGCUGCCCUCCGCAACCGCAGCGGCCGUCGCGGGGGCCGUGGUGCGCGCUCCGAAGGAGCCGCUAGCUGUUCUCACCCCGCGUUAAGCCCCUUUUGUGGCCUUCGUGAAUGCAGAAGGUCGGUGUAGGAAACGAAGUGGGCGCCUGGAGAGGCCCGGUGGUGCCCCAGGUCCUGCCCCGCCCGCAGGAGGCUUCGCGGAGCGGCUCGCAGCCCGGCACAGUCUUCUGUUCCUCAGCUUUUUAUGUCCCCCCAAGUUUCCCUGCGACACUUCCCAAAUAUUGGAAUCCUUGGGUUACUCAGUUACAUGAAAUCAUGCACAGAUAGAAGACAUUGUGAGACUCAGAAAUGCUAAGGUCUGACACUUUCAACAGGAAUGACAAAAGAAAAAAGAAUCUCCAGAAUGAAGUACUGUCUUUUCUCGACAGCUUAUCUUACUGUCUG
RNAcentral lists this long non-coding RNA (445 nucleotides) under Gallus gallus (chicken). The record is from RNAcentral. Lineage: Eukaryota; Metazoa; Chordata; Aves; Galliformes; Phasianidae.